UACGGAGGGUGCAAACGUUGCUCGGAAUCAUUGGGCGUAAAGCGCACGUAGGCGGUCGGCUAUGUCGGAUGUGAAAGCCUCGGGCUUAACCCGAGAAGGGCAUCCGAAACUGGCUGGCUUGAGUACGGAAGAGGGUCUCGGAAUUCCCGGUGUAGAGGUGAAAUUCGUAGAUAUUAGGAAGAACACCAGUGGCGAAGGCGGCUUUCUGGCUCGUAACUGACGCUGAGGCGCGAAAGCGUGGGGAGCAAACAGG
RNAcentral lists this ribosomal RNA (253 nucleotides) under uncultured bacterium. Its description in RNAcentral is "partial 16S ribosomal RNA". It matches the Rfam family "Bacterial small subunit ribosomal RNA", at positions 524 to 776 of the family's 1533-position model. The record is from RNAcentral.